UUUUCCCUGAGGUGAUUUUUCUAGUUGAUGAUGCUCAAUAACAGAUAGCAAAAAAGAUAUUAUGAAAGAAGCCUGGAUUAUUGUCAUCACUCGUCACUCAUGAACAAUUAGAUUCACUAUCCUGGCUAUCGUUUAUCAACGUUUUCACCUAAGUAGGUCAAAGAAGGACAUGAUUUGAGAGGCAACACAAGAAAACUAACAAUUCAUUGGUACCGAAGAAAAAGAGAGAAAUAUAAGCAAGGCUGUGAUGACAGGAAUGUAAAUCAAAAGACUUCCUAACAUUCUGACUCAGUGGAAAAUAUGAGAACAUUCUGGUGAGGAUUGAAAAUGGCUAAAUCUGAUAAUGUUAACAUUCUGAAACUGUCUGCUAGAAUAAAUCCGAAAAAAUAAGGACUCUAGUUUUUUAGCAAGGACAUGUAAUUUAAUAACUUGACAGCACCAAGUUAUGUACAACUAAGCAAAAGCAUCCCUGUUUGGAUAUGCAGGGUACUAAUGACAAACAUCACAAACCUGAGUAAACAAGUUCUGAAUGUUAACACAGUUGCACAACUCAGCUUUUGAAGGUAAAAUCUUGGACGAGGGUCUUACAACCUUGAUGAUAAUCACGGCUCGUCUUCCUCAUCAUCAUCAGAAUCUUGAUCGGUAUUAUCCUCAUCAUCAUCAGAAUCUUGAUCAAAAUUAUCCUCAUCAUCAUCAGAAUCAUGAUAAUAAUAAUCACUGGAACAGUCUUCCUCGUCAUCAGAAUCUUGAUAAUAAUCACUGCAACUGUCUUCCUCAUCAUCAGAAUCUUGACAAGGAUUAUCCUUAGCUUUAACCACAGAGGAUACAUCCACAAGCCUACACGUGAAAUCAUGCAAAUCAUGUGAAAGCACCAAAUAAUGAAGAUUUGGGGCAAAAAUUUCCAAGGAACUAUCACUUUCACUUCCAUCAUCAUCCAUCCAAUAACCUUCCAAUUUCAGGCUUUCUACUUUGAAAGAAUUAAUUUCCAGGCUACGAAAAAUCCCCAACCUUGUGAAAUUAAAUAGUUUCCAAAGCAGGACAGACUGACAGUAAGUUUACAAUUUCGGCAUCCCCUAUCCUCCAAAGUUAUGCUCUUUAGAGACUUUCACGCUAUGACAAUAUAUUAGAAAUAAGGAACUUUCUACUAUAUGCAAUGUUCUCAACGCUGAACAGGUAAAGAAAGAUUCAGUAAAUAGACAAAGAGGAUCAGAAUAGACUAUAACAUGUUCCACAUUUUUUAACAGCAAAACCGCCAGUUCUUUUUUCUUUUUCAUUGAGGUAGCUUUUCUAGUUGGUGAUGCUCAAAGAACAGAUCACAUAAACAAUGUUAUGAAAGAAGCCUGGAUUAUUGUCAUUAAGAACACAGUUGUUACUCACGAAAAAUUAAAUUCACUUUAUUGGCCAUAGUGCAUCCAUUUUGUCAACAAAGUAGGUCAGAAAAGACAGGAUUUGGAGGACAACACAAUUAUAAUUCCCAUCCAUUGGUAACGAAGAUAAAGAGAGAGAUACAAGAACGGUUGUGAUAGCAGGAAUGUAAAUCCAAAGACUUCCAAGCCAUAUGCCAAGUGACAAACAAAUGAUAAAGUUAUAACCUGAAUCAGCAGAAAGAAUGAGACUGCAAGAGGGGCGGGGGAGAACUUUCUGGUGGUGAUGGAAAUGACUUGCUCUGAAUUUUCUAGUAGACGCAUUAACGGAAGGAUAAAAAUUGGUAAAAGAUUUAGCCUAAUAAUGACCUAAACUUCAACUAAAAAAAAUCAACAGCAUUGUAUGCCUCCAUUACAGACUGUUAAAAUUAUUUGAGGUAGACAAACAAUGCAGACCUCUUUCUUCCAAGUAAUGAGCCUAUGAGAGAACCAUUUCGCAAUCAAAGUUUGAUGCUAUUGACAAAGCAAGGAAGAAACAUUUAAUUACAACUUAAAAGAAACUCGCAAUGCACAACAUCUAAAAUGUAACAAACCAAAACUUCAUGAGAAACCAAGCUACUAUACCACUUGAUAUACCAUAACAGUAAGUUUCAAAAGAACAAUAAUUAAUAACAUAGAGAAAUUUAAGAUUAGCGAUUGCGUGAAGUUGAUCAAAGACUUAAUAUAAGGGAAAACUUCUUGUAUCCUGAGACAAAAAUACUUGUAGUCUAGUUAUAGAAAGCUCACUCUUGAUAGGUUAUCACAAACUCAGCAGAGGAUCUUAGAUUACUAGCCAAUCGCGAUAAAAAUCGGGACACACACUUGAUUCCACAAAUCUUACACCUUCGUCUUUUUGAAACGAUAACGAACUUCUCCAAAACCACUGCAUUCUUUAACAAAAAGUUUGAAAGUUUGAAAAGCUUCGUGAUAUAUUCCCAGUUGAGAUGCUCCUUCAUGCACAUCCCAGAGGAGAUGACGAUCUCAACAUUCUUUAGGUUGGGAAACACAGAGCUUGAAUUAUAACUCUGCAAAUCAAUACUAUCACCUUCAACCAAAUAUUUUCUCUCAAAAUAGCACCUGGAAUCAUCAAACUGGAGAAAAAGAAUAUAGUCAGGACUAAAUACAAACCAGCCUAAAAAUAUGAUUUUCACAGUAUGUCUGGUGCAGAAAAAUUUCAAAACUAACAGACAUGAAUGGUGGUUGGAAAAUGAUUGUGUAUCAUAACUAUUUGUGGCAUAGGUAUCUGUAAUAAAAGAAUGAUAGUGCAACAAUCCCUUUGCCACAAAGAAAGCAACAAAACCAACCAUAUUAAAGUGUAGCUUUACAAUGAUAAUUAAGGGAUAUAUUUGAGUUAUCCUUCAAAAACAAUUUGCGGGGAGGGGGAACAGAGGUUGUUAAAACUUCAUUAAAUGAAUAGAUGUAAGAAGAAAAGAUGUUCCACAAAGUUACAAGCUGAUUUUCUAUUUCUAAGUUGAGUGUCUCCACAAGAGGCGAGGCUCGCAAAAGGACAGCUGCCCUAUACAAACUAAACUUUUCCAAAUGCAACUCCAGCACUAGAUUUUUGCAUUCCAAUUCUGGAAUUGGCACUCCUUUGAAUUGCAAUAUGCAUAGAACCUGGUGCAAUAAUCCCAAUGAAACUAGUAAACAAUGGGGAAAGCAAUAAAGAAAGCACUUCACAACAAAGAAUUAAGUGUUGGGACAGUAAUUGAAACACUAAUCUUAAACUAAAUACUAACCAAAUAAACAACUAAUGUAUCAGUCUUCAUAGCACCACAAGAUGAAAAAAGGGGAACACGAAUAAGUAGAAAGAUUUGGUUGAUGAAAGAUUAAUUUCAUAAUGCUAUACUCAAUUAAAGAUCGAUCCAGUAAAAAGGCAAUUCCUCUUUACAUAACAAAAUAUAAAUAACUUUCUUAGCUUAGCCUCUUUAGAAAAGCUAAGGAACAUGAUUUUUUUUUAUUUAUCUCUUAGGGCUUGUUUGGUAGGGAGUAAAAAUGAGUAAUUUCAGUUUCUUGCUUAUUUAUGCUAUUUGGUAGGUAAGAAUUUUUUUAAUCUCAAGACUAUUUAUACAUCAUAAUUUAGAAUGAUAGUCGAGGAUUAGGAGCAGCUCAAAACAUUAAUUAUAAGCGCUUUAAAGUCGAAUUAAAUUUUAUAAUAAUAGGCCUUCAAUUUUAAGAAAAAUCAUAUUUACAAAUAUGAUUUAUGUUUUGUAUCUCGACAUAUUUGAAUUUUAAAAAGUAGAACAAAAGUACUCCUACGAUGUAAUUUUUUUAAAAAAAAAAAAUCGUUUUUUAUAUUAAUAAAAAGAGUAGGUGAGAGUAAGGAAAAUUAAAACUUGGUUCUUGGAAUUGAUAAACACCCAUACCAAACACACCCUUAAAGCAAACACAUAAACCAAGAUUUUUGCUAUUUAUAAAUAUCAUUGGAAGAAACUUUCCAUAGUUUUCAUUCCUCUAAUACGGAGACAGACGUUCAUCAUAAAAUGCAAAAGAAAAUAAAAUAGUCUUUACGGCCACAACUGUUCAUCCUUUACCGGAUGAACUAUAAAAGUAAAUAGAGAAUGCCUAAACGCCGACACACAAAGAAAUGCAAAAGUAAAUAAAAUAGCCUUUACGGCCACAGCCGUUCAUCCUCCACCGGAUGAACUAUGAUGGCCUUUACGGCAACAGUCGUCCAUCCUCUAUAACCGGAUGAACUUUAAUUUGAUACUAAACUGAUCAUUUUGGGAUUGCCAGUGACAUUAUCUCAAUUGGAGCCCCUAUCAACUUUUUUUCCACUGUGAAUGCUUUCGAGAAUUAAGCUAUGCCACUUCCACCUUUUGCCUGAAUAUACAUUGAUCAAACAUGUUUUUAGAACCAACCAAUAAUAAUAUACUCAAUAAAAUCUAAAGAGAGUAAUAUAUAUGUAAAUACGUUAUCCAUAUUAUCUUGCAAAAGUAGAAAGAUUGUAUAUUUAUGUUAAACACCCCGAAAAUUUCUAAGUUAAUAUACAAUCUUUCUACUUUAACAAGAUAAUAUGGAUAACGUGUGUACAUAUAUAUUACUCUCUUUAGAUUUUAUUGAAUAUAUUAUUAUUGCUUGAUCUAAAAACAUGUUUGAUCAAUAUUCAGGCAAAAGGUGGAAGUGGCAUAGCUCAAUUCUCGGAAGCAUGCAUAGUGGAAGAAAGGUUGAAGCAAGCUGCAAUUGAGGUAAUGUCACUGGCAACCCCCAAAUGAUCAGUUUAGUUUCAAAUUAAAGUCCAUCCGGUUAUAGAGGAUGGACGGCUGUUGCCGUAAAGGCCAUCAUAGUACAUCCGAUGGAGGAUGAACGACUGUGGCCGUAAAGGCUAUUUUAUUUACUUUUGCAUUUCUUUGUGUGUCGCCAUUUAGGCAUUCUCUAUUUACUUUUAUAGUUCAUCCGGUAAAGGAUGAACAGUUGUGGCCGUAUCGGAGGAAUGAAAACUAUGGAAAGUUUCUUCCAAUGAUAUUUAUAAAUAGCAAAAAUCUUGGUUUAUGUGUUUGCUUUAAGGGUGUGUUUGGUAUGGAUGGAUGUUUAUCAAUUCCAAGAACCAAGUUUUAAUUUUCAAACUCUCACCUACUCUUUUUAUAAAUAUAAAAAACGAAAAAUUACAUCGUAGGUGUACUUUUGUUCUACUUCUUUAAAUUCAAAUAUGUCGAGAUACAAAACAUGAAUCAUAUUUGUAAUUAUGAUUUUUCUUAAAAUUGAAGGCCCAUUAUAAUAAAAUUUAAUUCGACUUUAAAGCACUUAUAAUUAAUAUUUUGAGCUGCUCCUGUUCCUCGACUAUCAUUCUACAGUAUUUUUCUAAAUUAUGAUGUAUAAAUAGUCUUGAGAUUAAAAAAAAAAUUCUUACCUAUCAAAUAGCAUAAAUAAGCAAGAAACUGAAAUUACUCAUUUUUACUCCCUACCAAACAAGCCCUAAGAGAUAAAAAAAAAAAAAUCAUGUUCCUUAGCUUUUCUAAAGAGGGUAAGCUAAGAAAGUUAUUUAUAUUUUGUUAUGUAAAGACGAAUUCUCUUUUUACUGGAUCGAUCUUUAAUUGAAGUAUAGCAUUAUGAAAUUAAUCUUUCAUCAACCAAAUCUUUCUACUUAUUCGUGUUUCCCUUUUUUCAUUUUGUGGUGCUAUGAAGACUGAUACAUUAGUUGUUUAUUUGGUUGUUACAAAAUCUAACAAAAAUUCUAGUUCCGGGUAAGAUAAAGGAAAUAACACAGUUUCAAAGCUGACAAAGGAUAGCAGAGAGGUACAAAAGUCCCCACAAGUUUCUGUAAUUUGUCCAGAUUGGUAGGUGAAAUUCGCACAAAGGUUCUCCAUUGUAUAUAUAAUGUUUACAUUCUGAAACUGUCUGCUAAAAUUCAAUCUGAGAAAACAAGGGCUCUAAUUUUUUUGAGAAAGAUCAUGUGAUUUUAAUAACUUGCAACACUAAGCAAAAGCAUCCCUGUUUGACUAUGCAGGGACAAACAUCACCAACCUGAGUGAACAAAGUUCCGAAUCAAGUGAAGUCCAGAGAUACUGCCACCUUUUAGAGAGAAUACAUGUUGUGAAUGCUUCCUUUGUCGGCAAAAGGGAAAGAAUCUGAAGCAGAAGUGAGUCCGGCAAGUCACUCAGGCAGUCAGGCGGUCAUCUAGGGUUUCUUCCGCCAUGAUUUUGUUUUUUGUGUUUCUAAACUCCCGCUUCGGUAGUACCCUCUUCAAUUUGUACAAUUAAUAUGUUUAUAUAUUCGCCUAAAAUUAAAAUUAAAAUUAAAUAAGGGAUAUACUAAGGCCCGUUUGGCCAUAUGAUUAGAGAGCAUGAUACGAAAUUGUAUGAGAUGAAGUUAAUAUUUUGUUUAAACAUAUAAUUUGAACUAGUGAAUUUGGCCGCGCUACGUGCGAUUUAAAUAUUUCUAAUAAAAUUUUACUUUAUUUGGCAACAUUUACCAUUACAAUUGUUUUUUUAUUUCUACAAAUUUACAAACCAUUAUUUCCUUUGAUUUCUACUUUUACAUAAUCUUUUGUAACUUUUAUUUUAUCUUUUAAAUAUUUGAUUAUAUUAUUAUCUCUCAUGCACUUAUUAUUUGAAUUAUACCUAUAAAAAAUUUCGAGUAUACACAUAUUCACAUACAUAACCUUUUUCAUAUUUUUUUUUAAAAUUUUUCUUAUUUUAGAAGGUCAUGAAUAUUUCACCCUGCAAACAUAGAAAAGGUGAAUGUCACAUCCGGUAAAAUAUAAAAAAAGUAUAAUUUUUUUAAGUUUUUAUGAUAUAAACUAAAAGAAUAAAUGGACAUUUUAUCUUUAAUUGUAUCAAAUAAAAUUUCAAAUUUAUUUAAUUUUAUAUGGUUGCUUGUUUAAUUAUUAAUUUUCUCUAUAAUAAUAACAACCUAGUUGAUGCUACGGAUUCAUUUUUAAUAAUUAUCAAAAAAUAGUUGCAUAGAUUAAUUUUUAAUAACGUAAAAUAAGUUAUUUCAAAAUGAAUUUUUAGAUGACUUUUAUUGCUUCAAUGCAUGAAUAAAUACAAGGAAAUAAGAAACUUUCACAAAUGUUUUCGUAAGCAAUUUCAAAAUAGAAUUCUCACUCGUCCACCACGAUAUUGCUCCAUCUCUCAUAUUAUUUUCUCACUAUUGUGUUGUAUAAAAAUAAAAUACAUAAAUAAUAUGAACAUGAGUGUAUUUACUGAUUUGCAAAAAGAAAAUCACACUUGAAUGAAGCUUAUCUUGCUUAGUUGAUAAAUCUUCUCUCUUUAAAUAUGUCAUCGCUGAUAAUAUUAUAUUUUCAUAUAAUUUGUAGUGAAAAAAGUAAAUAGACCAUUGGAAGAAAAUUUUAGUUUACAAUGAACCAGUUAUAUGAGUAAUUACAAUCAAUAACGAAAAGUCAAUAACUUCGUAUUCUUGGUAACAUCACAUAUCUAUGUGAUCUGCAAUAAGAAAUUUAAACGACAAUCACAUUUUCAUUAUUCACGAAGAACUAUUUAUUAUGUAAUUACAAUUUAUAAACCUUAUCAACAAUCAAUAAUGAAAAGUCACUAUAUAAUUUUUAGAAAUUUUUGUGAUGAAAAAUUAAAUAUUAAUUUUUUUUUGGUAAAAUUUGAACACCAACCAAAAGCAUGGUAAAAUAACUACUUACACUUCAUGUUUCAACUCCUCUGAAAAAUCAAUAAAGAAAAGUCACUAUAUAAUUUUUAGAAAUAUUUGUGAUGAAAAAUUAAAUAUUAAUUUUUUUUUGGUAAAAUUUGAACACCAAUCAAAAGCGUGGUAAAACAACUACUUGCACUUCAUGUUUCAACUCCUCUGAAAAAUCAAUAAAGAAAUAAUUUUAUAUAACCGGCAAACAAUUAACGUCUAAUUAGAGUAUUAUCUUCAUAAGAUAUAUGAAUUAAAAUUCAUUGCUUAAGGUAAAUAAAAAUGAAGACAAAAAUUAAGAUAUUGCAAUGCUAAAUUGAGAGAGAAUAAAUGAAGAGAUAUAAAAUGAACAAACAGGAGUAAGGAUAAAGUAGUGCGGAAAGAAAAAUAGAUGAAUUGUGUUAGAAUUCUCAAAUAUUGCAUUAUAUAGUAAAAUUAGUUGCAUUAUCCUUUUCAUUAAAGAGUUGCAAUUAAGUGGAUGCAUUUCUUUUUUUAAUGAAAUUUUGUAACCAUUUUUUCCAUAACUAAGCACACUAAUUAUGGGAAAGUAAAUAUUGAUUAUAGGGAAUGAAAUGAGUAUAAUUUAAAAACGCCAAAAUGAUAGCCUUUGAAAUUCUUUAUUUAUAGAAAGGUAUAAUUGAUCAUUAAUUAAUAAUUAUUAAUAAUACAAUUGUGUAAAAAUAGAGAAAAAUGCCUAAAUCUUAAGAAAAUAGAUAAAUACCUUUUCUGAUCAUUGAGGCAUGCCACAUCAGUAGGAUGAAGAUCCUCCUUUAUAUUAUAUAUAGAUUUUUAAGUUGUAUUGUUUGCUUGUAUACAUAAAAAAUUCAUAAGUUGUGAAAAUAUGAUACAUAAAUAUACCCUUAACUUUACCUUCUUUUACAUUUAUGCCCUCCAACUUUGAAUAUGCACAAGUAGACACUCAAACUUGUAUAAAAUUGAACAAAUAGACACACACGUCUUAUGUGGCAUCCUACAUGGCAAUUUGUGUCCUACGUGGUGUCAUGUAUGUAUUAUGUCACAUAGGACUCAUGUGUCUACUUGUUCAACUUUAUACAAGUUUAAGUGUCUACUUGUGCGCACACAAAGUUGGAGGGUAUAAAUAUGAAAUGAGGCCAAGUUAAAGGGCAUAUUUAUGUAUUAUGCCUAUUUAAAUUGCUCAUUAUUCAUACAACUUACUCCAUUUGUCUCAUUUUAUAUGAUUUACUUUUUUUUUAGUCAGACCCAAAAAGAAUGACACAUUUUUAUAUUAAGUAACAAUUUAACUUUAAAAUGUUCAGUUUACCCUUAAUGAAAUGAUUUAUAGCCACACAAAUUUCUAUUAUUCAUUUUAGACCAUAUCUUUUAAAAGUCUUCUUUCCUUUCUUAAACUCUGCCGAGUCAAACUACCUCACAUAAAAUGAGACGGAGAGAGUACUAAAUAAGCAAACUAUCCCUAAGUUAUUCUAACAAAAAUACAAUAAAGAAGUUGAAUAUGAGUUAUAGUAUACUACUCUUCGUUUCAAAAAAAAAUAUACUACUAUUAUUAUUAAGUAAUAAUAAAUUUGGUUGUUGAGAGUAAUGAUUAUAUCUGAUAAAAUGAUGGGUUAAAGUAGUGGUUAUUUCAUGAAUUUUGUUGCAUAUGUGAUUUCAUCUCGUGAUUUGAAAUCAUGAGAUAAAAUAUGUGUUAUGUGAUUUCAAAUCAUGAGAUAAAAUCUCAAAUUUUCCAAAAAACUUAAUUUUGGAAUUUCAUAUCAUGAGUUCACAUUUUCCAAAUACAAAAAUUUAAUUACAAAUUUAUAUUUUAUAAAAAAAGUGUAUAUACAAAAAAGCUUUUAUACCAAUUAUUAAAAUAUACACAGCAAAAGCAUCAUUCAAGAACACCAAUCUUCUGAACAACUUAGAAAACUAACAUGUUGAACUUUUGCACAAUUCGCCAAAACAAAGUAAUCUGAGGCUGUGAUCUUCUACUAUUUUCCUAUAACCUUUUAACUAAAACUUGUUGGGCAACUAGAAAGAGUUUUUCUUCUGGAAAAGGGUAGGGGUGUGAUCGGUCGGUUCAGUUCGAUUUUCAGUUAUUAAAUAUGUCAACUCAAUAAUAAGCCAAUAAGAUAUUUUUUUAUCGGUUUCAAUUUUUAUCAGUUUUUUAUCGUUAUCGGUUCGAUUUUCGGUUUACCCAAUAAGAAAAUGUCCUUAAAAUAUUACAUGACUUCUCACUUCUCUAAAUAUUUUGAUAUAGUGAAACAAGAAAGAUAAUGAGACAUUGCAUCAACAAGAGAAAAUAUAGUAUGAAGGCUAUAAUUACAUGUCACCACCAAAACAUAAUAUAAAAUUUCUAAUGUUGAUCAAAUUACAGACCUUUACAAACUAGCAAAAGCUACAACCUACAAUUACAAACUAAAACUAAAAUCAAAUAGCUACAACUGUGAACUUUAGAUUUGAGUAAACAGUAAAGACUAGUAAAGCGGCCUAGUGUGAAGUGAGUAGAGUACUAAUAAUUUGAUAUAGUUAUUGUAACACCCCAAAAAUUUCUAAGUUAAGCUCCUAACCUGUAACACCCGGAAAACUAGUAGGUUAAAUUAGAGCCUUACGUAAGGGUUCUAGAGCUUUACGUGGGGGUUAGAGUUGUAGAAAUGACUUCUCGUACUUAGAAUGAGGGGUUUAGGGGUUAAACGUCAAGGUACGACUCCCUAAAGACCAACCAAAGGGUCCUUGAGGAGGACCCUAAAACAGCCCCAAAACCUGCCAAAAAUCAGUGAUCCACGAUGGGGACUCAUGCCCCGUGGGUCCACCCACGCUCCGUGGGGAGGGUCGUGGGUCAAGACCCCAAGAGUGGAACUGCAGGACUCCACCCACGGAGGACUAGCAUGGCCCGUGGGUCCACCAACGGCCCAUGGGUCUGGGUCUCGUGGGUGAGGCAACCUUGUCCCUUAAGUUGUUUAAGUUAAGGGUUAAGGAAAGUUCUAGAAUUAAUUAGUUAUUAAGAGGGGGUCGUUUUAUUAGUAAUUAGGCCACCUAUAUAAAGCUAUUAGACUAUUAACUAAGGGAUUCUAAAUCAUUAUUUUCAAUCUACCCAAAGAACUCAAAUUCCCUCCAAGAAAUUCUCUCUCUAGGAAGCAAAGAAGAAGAAGAAGAGAAGCAAGUUAGGGCAAAUUCCUCCAUUGUUUCAAGCAUUGUGAGGGCUUUAUAAUCAAGGUAUGAUAGCUUAUUCAUCCUUGGAUUCUUCCAUCCAUGGAUCCCCCUAGAUUUCCCUCAAUUGUGAAGAUGAACCCAAUUCUAGCUAGGGUUUUUUCCUAUAUUGUGGUAUUGUUGAGUAUGAAUCAAAUUGAGUGGAUAAUACUUGUUUAUGAUUACUUUAGUAUUGAAUCAUGAUAUUGUGAUGAUAUUACAUGUUUUCCAUGGUUAACCCUAGUUUAAUUGAUGAAAUUGUAGUAAUGUGGAUUUAUGCCAUGAAAGGUGAAAUUGAGUAUUUAUAGAUGAUCUUCUAGAAUUGAUGACCUGUUUAGUAAUUGUUCAUGAAUGAAAGCUUGUAGACAUGAAUUGAAUUAGAUUAUAGUAUAUAUGAUGGAUCAUGACUAGUAAAUCUUGAGAUUGAACUUUUAUGCAUGAUGAUUCAUGACUAGAGUCACUUGAUAAUGAAGAAUGUGAUUAGAAUGCCAUGAAAUCUAGGUAUGAAUGAUGUUGGUAAGAAGUAACGCUUUGAGGGUAAGGCUUGUAGGCAUGAGUGUUGAUUGUUAGGGCUUUGAGAGUAAAGUUAAUAUGUUGAAUUAAGAAUGUUCAAAUGCAUAAAGUGAUAGAAGCACUUGAAACAUGGAUUGGUUGUCAAGGACAUCCCUCCACGAGUAAUGAAUUAAGUAAGAACUUAAUAAGCUAUCUUAUGGAAUGUAUGCCUAGCACCGAAUGGAUAUUGAAUUGAGAUGGAAGCUUUUACCUAGUUGAGUCCGAAUUCCAAGAUGGUAACUCUCACAAGUAGAGUCCGAGUUUCCCAAAGUAUAUCUCACGAGAUGGAGUCCCUCACAAGUGGAGUCCAAGUUUCCUAGUAGAAUAUUCGUAUCCCAUAACUACGUGCCUCGUAGGAAAGUUAGCUAGUGGGUCAAACUAAGCUAACAAAUCGGUUCUACCCUAGGCAAGUAGACCAACCCUUCUUGGUAUGGGUAACAUCGGAGGGGAUCAUGUGAAAGCUCAUGUGGUCCCAUAUCGAUUAAGGCUAUAUUCCCAACUAGUGCAAGAUUAUUAAUGAACUAAGACAUACUUGAAAGAGUAUAUCCAAGUGUUCAAAAGCAUUAAUGAGCUAAGACAUGCUUAAAGAAGCAUCUCCAAGUGCUCAAGUAUAAUGAACUAAGACAUACUUGAAAGAGUAGAUCCAAGUGUUCAAAAGCAUUAAUGAGCUAAGACAUGCUUAAGGAAGCAUCUCCAAGUGCUCAAGUAUAAUGAACUAAGACAUGCUUAAGGAAGCAUCUCAAGUGUUCCAAUAUAAUGAACUUAGACAUGCUUGAGUAAGUAUUUCAUAGUGUUCAAAAGUAAAGAAAAGGGGAUAAGAUGUAUUUAAAGAAGUAUCUCUUAGGGUUCCAAUGUCUUAAAAAGGUGGACUAGUCUCCAAAUCAAGAAGUAUGAGUAUGAGGACCUAAAAGUGGUACUUAGCAUGGGUAGGAUUAUGGGAUCUUAUUCAUUCAUUGCACAAGUAUGACUUAAGGUUACUAGAAGUGUUCUCUUAUAGGAGGUAUGCUUAGAUAGGAUUGUGUUAUAGUUGCCUUCCUUGUUAUGAGUGACUAAAGGUGAGAGAUUCCCUUGUCUAUGAGAAUUAAGCUAAAAAAAUGAGAACAUAAGAUGGUAAAUAGGAUGAUGAUGGCCAAAGGGGAUACUUAGCAUAAAUGGGAUUAUGAGGUCUUAUUCAUGCAUUGCACAAGUGUACUUGGAGGUUACUUAUGAAGUGGUUUUCUUAUGAUGUGAAGGUCUAAGCAUUAACUAGGUACAUGGACUAUGAUUUAUAAUGAAUAAUGCUUAAAUGAUGCUUAUGUUGGAGACCUUGAUUAUGAUUAUGAUAUUGUCUCUUAUGCUUAUAUUUUGUGUAUCAUGAAGUAUCUCUUAUGCUUGUGGAUUAUGUCUUAUGUUGACUAACCCUUAUAUUAUGCUCUUAUGAUGUUAUGCUAGCUAUCAUAUUUAGUAUUUUUGUACUAACGCAUACUCUUGCCUACAUUCUCAUCAAAUGUAGGGCUCGUCGAUUUUGAUUUCUAUUCUUGGAGAUAGGUUUCUAGAAGUGCAAGGAGUUGAAGACUUGGUGAGUACUCAUAGCAUCGAGGAUGAAGCCACCAUUUCCUUUAUGUCUUUUAUUUUUCAUGUUUUGAGACUAUUGUAUGGGCUGUGUCCCAAGAGUUAUUCAAAGUAUUGUUGUAGAUGAUUUGAGACAAAAAGUGUAGUAAGACUUCCGCUUCGUUUUAUAAAGACUUUGAUUGUAUGAAAAAUGUUUUAAAAAUUCCGCAUUUUUCUAUUAUCUUAUGUUAUGAUAUGCUAAGUGGCUUGUAUGAGAUCCCUUUCAGGGUCAAGUACGCCAUGUUACAUCUAAGGUGUACCAUGAGUCGUGACAUAACCAUUCUUGAAUUACAUAUAAGGUCGUACUAAGUGACUCUUAAUUUUCUUAGGUGUUAAGGACAAUUCUUUAGUGUGGGAAUGAAUUUGGAUAUGAAUUAAGGUCACUAGAAUCUCCUAGCACAAAGUUGAGUUAAAAGUUUUCUUACCGAUUAAUUUUUUAUGUAAGAUUCUACUUGGGUCAACUUCAAAUGACCAUAUCUCUUAGAAUAUAAAGAGUUAUGUGGACCAUAACCUAUCAAAUUAAAUUUAUUUGAAUUUUCUUUCCAAUGCCACCAAUUUCGCGUCAAUCCGAGUUUCGAGUAAAGCGUUAUGACCAAUUUAGUAACUUGAUACAGUGCAGUGACGAAUUAACCGACGGGAAAUCAUUAAAAAGGGUUGUUUUUAUCUUUUUACCUCUAAGAAAACCCUAUACGAAUUUCUUGACUAAUUAAAGAGCAAAACCAAUCAAAUUUUCAUCUCUUAAUCCCCCCUUCUCUUCUUUCUCAAACCCUAAGGGAAAAAUAAAAGUAGAAGACUCCAUUCAAGAUUCUUUCAAUCUUUUUCAAGAUUGUUCUUCAAGGUAAGUCUUUCUCCCAGAAUUCCAUUCUUUCCAACUCAAUUUUCUUCAUACAAUUAUGAAUCAUUAAUGAGAAUAUUAAUUCUUGGCCAUAGAGUUUCAAGAAACUAAUUCAAGAAAUCUCAAGAAAGGUUUACUUGAUUUUUCUCCUUCAAGCUAGAAUUUCAAAGGCUUCUAAUCAAGUUAUUUUUCAAGAUUCUUCAAGAACCUUGUUCUUCCAGGUAUGUAAGGAUAUCAUAGUAUUAGACUAGUCUGUCCUCACGCCCUACAUCUACUUUCAAAUCAGUAAAAGAGUAAUCUAGGACUCUAUCCCUAUAUUUGAGUAUUCUUGAUAUAAGUUGAUUUUGAGUUAUUGAGUUCUUGAUUCUUUUUGAAAUUAUAUUCCUAAUUAUUGAAUUGCUAUAUGUUAUGCAUUAAGAUUUUUGAGUUGAUUCGUUCAUGUCUAUAUUUCAACAUGAACCUAAUGAAUUGAGUAUUCAUGAGAUGAGUAGUAUUGCUGAGUUUCAAGUUCUUGAGUUCUCAAUAUUGAGUUUCCAUAUUGCUAUUAAGAUCUCUGAGUUGAGUCGUUCAUGUCCAUAAUUCCACAUGAACCCUAUGAAUCAGUUAUAAAUUUUGAGAACCUUUUUUUUAAAGCCAACAUUUGAGUUUUUAAACUGAGUUUUUGAGAAAGUAAAGAUGAGUUUUGAGAAAGUUUCUAAAACAUGAUUAGUAUGACAAUCGAGUAUGCCAUCAAUAUUUAAGCAGUAUGGUACAUCAAUGUUUAUGCAGUAUGACGUCCCGAGUCAUCAAUGAUCAUAUUAUAAUAUGAUUUUUAAAUGUUUUUGAGAAAUAGUUUUCAAGUAUGAGUAUAAGGGGACUAGGUAUUCCCAGAGGCAUCAUUUUUUUACAUUGAUAAAAGAGAAACUGAGAUUUCUAAAUGAGUUAUGAGUUCAAAAGUUAUUUCAAGAGCAGUUACCUCUUUUAAGUGGGUAGUUUGAGCAAUUAUCUCAAACUAGAUGAAGAGUUAUAUUUUUUUAAAACAUAUGAGCAUGAGUAUAUAUUAUUAGGAGUAGUAUUGAACAACGAUAUGGGGGAGGGUUCAGACAACUCACAACCCCCAUAAACCAUGUAUGCCAACAUGGGUAAAGGGUCAUACUUUUUAGAUGAUUCCUUAUUACUUUUAAGCAUAGCUCAAUGGAUCCACUUAGUUGAGGAUGUCCUAUACUCUGGCAAGGUAUAGGACAGUUUUGGCAGCGUAUACGAGACGUUGUAUUGUCACGUUGCUCAUAGUGAUGGUUGUCGGUUAGAAAAUCUCCCAAAUAAGAGUAAUGAGUUAUUAUUGUAUUUUUAUAUAUAUUUGAGUUAUUCCAAAAGUUUCAUGUAUAUAGCAUCUUUUAUUGUUGCUUUCAUUUUGAGUUGAGUAUCUUGAGUUUGAGUUGAGUAUCUUGAGUUGAGUUGAGCAUCCUGAGUUGAGUUGAGUAUCAUGAGUUGAGUUGAGUAUCUUUGAGUUGAGUUGAGUAUUCUUGAGUCAUGUUGAGUUGAGACGAGGUAAGUGUGUCUUCCCCUUUAUUACAUCGAGCUUAUACUUAUAUGUUGCAGAGUUCCCCUUACAUGCUCGUACAUUCCUUGUACUAACGCCAUUUGGCAUGCAUCAUUUUAUGAUACAGAUACAGGUAUUCAAGAUCAUCAAUAGGCGUUUCGUUGAGGUCAUGUGGUAUUCUAGUCAACUGUGGUGAGCCUUCUUAUAUUACGGAGGACUUCACAUUUACCUUACAGUUAGUAAUGUUGAGAUGUCGUGGGUCUUAUCCCGAUAUCCUUCUGUAAUAUAUAGUAGAGGCUUCAUAGAUAGACAAAGUUGAGGAGUUUUCUUUAUUUCUUUCUUUUGAGUUGUGUUAUAAACUCUGAGUAUAUCUUUUGAGUAUUGUUCAAACUUUUUAAAGUUGAGUAUUUGAGUUUAAUGAUAUUUGAUUCAAUAUUAAGCUUUUGUAUGCUUGAGGUAGUCUUUCGCUUGUAGUUAGCCAAGAUAAGGGUUCGCUUGGGGACCAGUAGUGGUUCUCAAGUGCUGGCCACGUUCAUGGUGUAGACUCAGGUUGUGACAAUUAUAGUGUCUAGUUAUAUAUUAAAUUAUUAAUAUUUAAUAUUUAGGAAGGGUAAAAUAGUAAAUUAUUACCGUCUUAUUGAGUUAUUGGUUUACCCAAUAACCCAAUAGUAAAUACUGAAACUGAACCAAUAGCCCAAUAACUAUCUUUAGAAACCCAUUAAAAAUUCAAUAACCCAAUAAUAUUUUUUCGGUUCGAUUUAUUGAUCAGUUUGGUUUUUGCACACUCCUAGAAAAGGGAUAAUUUUCUUUAAGGUAAAAUACAAUAUGUAUUCCUGCUAGGGAAAAUGUAAUAACCCUGAAGGUCAUUUUUGAAAAAAAAAUUUAAAAUAUUAUUUUAUUCUUCUCGUUAGUUAUCUCGACUUAUGUUUGAUCAGUUUAUGAGGUUGAUUUUGAAGAUGGAUCAAAAAGUUGAGAAUUUUGGAAGUUUUGGAGUUUUGGAAGUUUUUAAGUUAGGCGAGAGAAUGGUCUAAAACCCCCCAACCUAUACCCGAAAUCCCAACAACACACUCCGACUUUACGGGUGUUCUAUUACCCACCUGAACUUUAUAUUUCUCUAUUUUAUACACACCUAAGUAUUGACCUCAACACAUAAACCAAAUAAUUAGGCCUGCGUGGUUCCACGCGCUGGGUCCCGCUCCUCUUCAACUCCAAUUUCUUGAUUUUUCCCCCAUUCCCUCCUAAAAUGUAAAAGAACAAAAAAAAUCCUCCUUUCUCAUUUUGAAUCCUUGUCCAUUAGCAAUGCAUUUCUGGUGAUCAUCAAACAAAUUUGCUAUCAUCGAACGAUUUUGUUGUGUAUUGUCAACUUCAUUUCGUAGUUUAACAACUGAUUUAGUAAAAGGUUAGUUCUUUAUCCCUUAUUUUGAGUUUGUGAUUUAUCCCCUAGGGUUUCUGUUGAUUCGUGAAAUUAAGAGCAACGUUGUGUGAAAUAUUAUGUGUGGCUUACGAUUAUAGUGUUAGGUGUUCAUUUAAUACCACAUUUUUCAUGAAAUUAGGUUUUUCCCUUUCUCGUCUAAGUCGCGUAAUUUUGUAUUAUGUUCAUGGAGUGUUGUAUUUAUGUUCUUCUUAGUAUUAUGUUCAUAGAGAAGCUGCUAGUCUGCUACUGUGUUGCAUUUAUGUUCAUAGAUUAUGUUCAUAGAGAAGCUAAGUACUAUGUUGUAUUAUGUUCGUUUGCUAAUGUGUUGUAUUCUGUUCGUUUUUAAGUACUAUUCUAUUUUUUGGAUUGCCCUCAGGUUAGAGUAUGUCUAUAAUUACUAUUCUGUUUUUUUUUAUUACCUUCAGGUAAGAGAUGAAUGGGUUUACUUUGAUUACUCUAAGGUGGUACCAUGGUGGGGUGUUAGAUUUAAGUAGUGGGGAACCAAUAUAUAAUGGUGGAAAAGUUACAGAAUUUUUGGAUGUUGAUGUAGAUAAAAUGUCAUAUUUUGAGUUGAAAGACUAUAUUAGGGAAUUGGGAUAUAGUACAACUUGCACCUUUAGUAUUAAAGCACCUAACAGUGGCAUUUUGGUAGAUGUUGAUAAUGAUAAAGAUAUUUUAGACAUAAUGUGUUCCUUGGAAGAUGGGGAUGAAGUGGAGGUAUUUGUUAGGCAUUUGGUUGAUGAGGCAAUUGUGGGACCCAUGUUAAUAGAAAUGGUAGUCAUGUGGAUAUGGGAGAAUCUGGUUCAACUUUUUAAUACAAGGCCUAGUGAGAGUGAAAACUUUAACUUUGGGGUAGGUGAAAACCAUUUAAACAGUGAGGACCCUGUUGCUACUUUUUCAACCUCACCUCUUUUCACUACCACACCUCCUUUUUAAAUAUUGCUACUGCAGAUGGUGCUACUGAUGAUGAUAUAGAUGUUGGUCCUGCUGGACCUGAUUUCUCAGAAGAAGAAGUAGAGGGUUCUGAUUAUUCAACUGAGGAUAGUGUUGAGUCUGAAGCUGAAUUAGUUGGAGAUGAUGAUGAGAAAGAGUAUGGUAGUGAUAUACAUGAGGAGGUUAGGGAGUUGAGGGCUGAAAAGAGAAGUUUUCAAAGGAGGAAAAGAAGGGAAAGAGUAGUAGCUGACAAUGAAGAGGUACCAGUAGGUGAAGCUGGACCAGAUCUAGGUUUUGAUGAAACUGAAAUAGGUAAAGUAAGUCAUGAAGGAAGGCUAGGAGGUGAUGAGCCUUACUUUGCAAGUUCUGAUGAGGAUAGUUUUAAGUUAGAUGAAGAUGAGUGUUGUAAUGAUGAUGAAUAUGAAUCUGGUAGAUCAAGAAGAGUAAAGUUGUCAAGAAAGAGGAGUUCAAAAACUCAAAAAAUCAUUUAUGAUCCUACUGCAAAGAAAGUUGUGUGGCAGUUGGGCAUGGUGUUUAAAGAUAUGAAAGAAUUUAGACAAGCAGUAACUAAAUAUGCAGUUAGAAAAAGGGUUCAGGUGGAGAAGUGGGUGAAUGAGCCAAAGAAAGUUAGAGUUAGAUGCAAAGAUGGUUGUCCAUGGCUUUUGUUUGGAUGUCUUGACAAGACAACAAAUAAUUUCAUGAUAAAAACUUACAAUCCAAAGCAUACUUGCAACAAGACAACUCUAAAUUACUUGUGCAAUGCAAAAAUUUUAUCUGAAGCCUUCAGAGAAAGAAUAACUGAGCAACCAAACAUAAGAGUCUUCAAGUUGCAGGAGAUGAUUAGGAAAAAGUUAAAACUUCAUGUUGGCAAGACUACUGUGAGAAGAGCAAGAGCUAAAGUAUUGAAAGAUAUAAUGGGUGAUCAUGUUGUGGAAUUUGGAAGAAUACUUGACUACAAGGAUGAAUUGUUGAGGACCAAUCCAGGGACCAGUUGUGUUGUAAAAGUUGGUGAACCUGAUGCAGAAGUCAAGUCAAUAUUUCAGAGUUUUUACAUCUGUUUUGAUGCUUUAAAGAAGGCAUGGAUGCAUUGUAGGAAAUGCAUAGGCUUAGAUGGUUCUUUCCUUAAAGGUGUUUGUAAAGUCCAACUGUUAGUUGUUGUGGCCAGGGAUGGUAACAAUCAGAUGUUGCCACUUGCUUGGGCAGUAGUUGAAAAGGAGAACAAACACACAUGGACCAUGUUUGUCAAGUGCAUAAGGGAUGAUCUGGGGCUUGGAGAUGGUGAAGGUCUCACUUUGAUUACAGAUAUGCAAAAGGUAUGUGAAGUUAUUUUAUAAUUUUCAAUUUAUAUAUGUAAUUGUGACCUAAUCAUCAUUAUUGCAGGGAAUGUCUGUAGCAAUUACAAAUGUAUUACCUAAGUGUGAACAUAGAAUGUGUGCUAGGCACAUAUUAGCUAACUGGGCUAAGGAUUGGAGGGGUCUUCAAAGAAGACAACAAUUUUGGAAGAUAGCUAAGAGUACGUUUGAGUCUCAAUUAAGGAACAAUAUAGAGAAGAUGAAGUUGUUAGGUCCAGAAAAAAUGAUGGAUAACUUAAUGUACUACAAUAUUAAUUUUUGGUGCAAAGUUUACUUCAACACUGAAGUAAAGUGUGACUCUGUAGACAAUAACAUGUCUGAGUGUUUUAAUGCAUGGAUCUUGGCUGCUAGACACAAGACCAUCAUUACUAUGCUUGAAGAUAUAAGAGUGAAGAUGAUGACAAGAAUAGCCAAAUUAAGGGAGUUCCCAAGUACUUGGAAGUUUAAUUUCUCUCCAAUGGCUCUGAAGGUUUUAAAGGAGAACAUUAGUAGGUCUAUGGACUGUACCAUUGAGUUUAAUGGAGCUGCUGGAUUUGAAGUGAAAGAAGGGCUUUGUCAACACAAAGUGGAUAUUGCUGGGAGAACUUGUAGUUGUAGGGUGUGGCAGUUAAGGGGCAUACCAUGUGCACAUGUUGUGGCUGCAUUAUACUUUAAGAAGUUUUCUCUUUAUGACUAUAUAGACAGCUGCUACAGUAAGGAAACUUACUUGAGGAUUUAUGCCAAUGUUAUUGAACCACUCACAAACAUGUAGAUGUGGCCAGUUUCUACAAACCCCACUAUUGAGCCACCAGAAAUCACAAACAUGCCUGGUAGGCCACCUAAGGCUAGAAGGAAAGAAGCUGGAGAAACUAAGAAAUCUGGGAAGCUUCCUAGGACUGGACCUGCAAUGACAUGCAGUAUAUGCCAUGUCAGAGGCCAUAACAAGAGAGGGUGUCCUCAAAGAGAAGGUGUUGAAUCAUCAACAAGACAAAGUGCACCAUCACUUACUGCAUCAGUAAAGGCAGAACCAACAGGUUCAGGCAGGGGAAGAGGCAAACCAAAGGUAAUAUUUGAACUUGUUUUACUUUUUCUUAAUUUAUGACUUACUUUUUCUCUUAUAUGUAUAGAAAACUCCAUCAGCACCAUUAGAAGAUGAGCCUCCACUAAAAAAGGGAAGAGGAAGACAAAAAAAAAACAUCAUCAGUAGCACCUAGUGCACCUCCACUACCUACUGCACCUACUGAUUUUCUUGCAUCCUCUUCUGCUCCUCCUACUUAUCAUGCAUCAUCUUCAAUAGUUGGUACUACUAAAAGAGGAAGAGGCAGGGGAAACACAUCUCCAGAGAAAAGACCAAGAGUCAUGGGAAUGGGUGUGUUCCAAGCUGCAAAUGGCUUCAAAGUCAUGAAUGUGAGUCUUUGAUAUAUGUUAACAGCUUAAAUAUUGAAUUAUAAUCCUAAUUUUGUUUAAAUAAACAGCUUAAAUAUUGAUAUAAUCUUAAUUUUACUGUAGCCUGGCAUGCCAAGUAGUAAGAUCUACUCUACUGGACAAGCAAAAGUGACAAGAUCAUCUGAUGUAACUGGUGACAUUGGUUAUACACCAAGUACUACAACUAAGCUGAAAUGGAAUGGUAAAGCAGCAAUCUCAACAAGCAAGCUUCAUGAGCUUAGAGAGAAGCAAAGAAAGAAGACAAUGAAAAGUAGUUCAAGUCAAAAUGACACUUCUUCACAGUCAAAGAUGCCAUGGAAAUUGUAGUGAUGUUGAUGUAUUUAAGAACUUUUAAGUUAGUCCAUACAUGUAGCAUUAAUGGCCUGCUAUUUUGGAUAUUGUUUGUUGGUAAAUUUUGCCUUAUGUGAGGGCUUUUGAAUAUGACAUUAUUUAGGUAAAUUCUGCCUUAUGUGAGGCCUUAUGAAUAUGACUUUAUUUUGGUAAAUUCUGCCUUAUGUGAGGCCUUAUGAAUNNNNNNNNNNNNNNNNNNNNNNNNNNNNNNNNNNNNNNNNNNNNNNNNNNNNNNNNNNNNNNNNNNNUGUUGUGUUGUCUAUCGAAUUGUAUUGGCGAUUCAGGUGUGCUUACAUAUGUUAUGUUGGUUAUGUGUUUUACAAAUGGUGUUGUGUUGUCUAUUUGAAGUAUGAAUGGAUGACUAGGUUGUUGGUUGUUGAUGAAGUGUUGCAUAUUAAUACAAGCUUCAAUAGACAUCAUAGAUACAAAAUGACACACAUACAUUGAUUAAACAUAACAACAAUACAAAUCAAAGAGAAAUCCAAAUAUGCAGCACUUGAACUACUGGUUGCUGAUGAACAUAGCAACAACACAAAUCAAAAUACACAAAAGUAUCUUCCUAUUGAACCUACACCAUUUCCACCUUCUAUUGAGUCUCCUCUCCAAUAACAAAUUAGAGUUCAUCAAGUUGUCAAUAUGAACCUGUCUAAUACAUAAUUCUUGCUCCAACUCAUUGAUUUUGUUCACCAAUCUUGGAAGGAUAAAACUUGAUCUUGGAUCCACUUCUUCUUUGUCCCUCCAUCGAAAAAAUUUGCAAUUUUUAGACUAAAAAUGAUCCAAAACAGUACAUUAGCAUCGUUCAAAAUAAAGUGUAGCAAGAAUACAAGAAAAAACACAUACACCAUAGCAUGGGCAAGACCAAAAUCUUCUUCCCGGAUUUAAUUUCGACCAAGAAGUUUGCAAAUUCAGUAAAAUUAUGUGUUUGCAUCUCACUACAGCGUUGAGCAUUGGGUCUGAUUCAUCCAUACAAAGCUUAUUCAAGUUUUCAUUUGCCAUUUGCCAUUUUUGAUGAAUUUUGAGAAAAUUCAAAAUUCAAAUUAGAGACCUAAAUAAGAAAUUAGAGCAUAUUACAAACCCUAAAUUCAAGAUUUGAAGUAGAAAUGAACAUUAACAACUAAACUCUACUUAAUUCUGAGAGAAAAUUGUGAUUUUUUUAUAAAAGGAACAAGGGUUAAUGGUGGGGAAGAAGAAAUAAUGGUUUAUUUAAAGGUGGGGAAGAUGACCGUUGGAGAAGGAGGAGUUUUUCGUCAAAAUUAACCUUCUAACGCGCCUAGAGGAGGUGAGAACACCUCCCAUGACAGGUCAGCACUUAGGUGUGUAGAAAAUAGAGAAAUAUAAAGUUCAGGUGGGUAAUAGGACACCCGUAAAGUUGGAGUGUGUAGUUGGGAUUUCGGGUAUAGGUUGGGGGGGUUUUAGACCAUUUUCUCAAGUUAGGCAUAAUACAUAAAUAUUUCCUUUAACUUGGUCUUAUUUCAUAUUUAUGCCUUUAAUUUUGGGUGUGCACAAAUAGACUCUUAGGGGUCGUUUGGUAGAGUGUAUUAGUAAUGCUUGCAUUAGUACUGUUUAUAUUUGUUUUGCUUGCAUUAGUUAUGCAUAAAUUAUUUCUUAUGCAUUGUUUAGUUUGGUGUAUUAAAUAUAGUAUGCAUUGUAUAAAAUUAUUUAUUUAUAAAAAUAUCCUCUACAAUUAUGGUGGAAAAGAUGUAAAAGUGUUUUUUAUGGAUAAUUGAGUCUUUAACCAUGCUAAUGCAGUUGUUAGAUCCCUUUACAUUACUAAUACCUAGACAUUCAUGGUAUUAGUAAUACGGGUAAAAAAAAUUAAAUAUACAAUUUAAGUACCUAAACAACUCCUAUAUAACAAUAGUUUGACCAAAGCAAUAUAUUUUUUACAAAACAAAACAAAUCUAAAAUAUAUAAAAUAAAAAUCACAGAAUUAAAAGAACGAUGAAAACAUUUCAAUAUUAAAUAAGAUUUCAUUCUGUCACUCCCAGAGGCUACCGCCUGGACGCGGACACGGAACCUAGGAUCACGAGUGACCCCAAGCUAACCCUGCUGGCAUAUCAUAAGCAUACUAAAGAUAAACUUAAUCAAUAAAUUUGUGCGGAAGCUAAAUCAUAAGAUAAUCUGAAAUGAUGGGGAAUACCCAUAUACUAAAUCUGAAUAUAUGGAAAAUGAGAGUUUAAUCAACAACUGAAAAGUCAAACUCUAACACUAUAGUUGAAUUUGUCUAUGUCUGAAAAUAGCCUCUACUGACUAGAAAUAUUGGGACAUACCCUAGCUAAAUCUAGCAAAACUGAAACUAAUACUAAAGAAAGGAAACACAAUCAUGUCACUAGUCCUCGAAAAAUGAGGACUCACCACUGAUACUACUGAACUGAAGAUCGGGAACCGAUCUAUGCGUAAUUUGACUGCUGAGGACCUGAACCUACAUCAUGAGAAGAUGUAGCGUAGAGUAUGCGUCAGUACUUGAAAGGUACUGAGCAUGCAGGAUAGAGUAAAGCUGAAUAACAACAUAACUGAACAAGCAAUAAAGCAAUGAUAUAAUCUAACCAUGAUAAGGAUAAUGGAAAUACUGAAAAUGGAUAAACUGAAUGCAAUGACCAAGUUUAUAACAUGCUGAAACUGAAUGCUGAACUAUACUGAUAGCAUGGUUAAUGCUAAAGAAUCUGACUGAACUGUAAGGGAGCUACCAAUAAUUGACAUAAAACCACAUAAGCUAAAUGUGGAGUCUGAUGUAUACGCCCUAUCGAGAGGACCCACUAUACCCUGCUAGAGGUAUUGAGACAUGCUGGCGUGAUUACUAAAAUGAUGCCCACAACGGGGACUUACAACCUAUGGGGCACGUAGUUCUGGGACUUGAGGGUGUCUGACCCUAAUCCACUCGGUAUUAAGCUUCUCCCAAUUGAUUAUGUAAUUAACAUUUUAUGGCUGAAUGUCUGUAAUAAUGGAUAUCUCGAUUACUGACAUGCAAAUUGGGAAUGCAACAUUAAUAUACUGAUAAUAAUGCAUUCGAAAACUGAGGCAUGUUUAUAUACAACUGAAUUAACUGGCCUAGCAUGUGUAAUCCAUGAACUAAACGAACUACAUAGCUAGGGUUCUGAUUUUAUGCAUGAACCUGGGCAAUAAAGAUACUAAAGUCAUGAUGAUACGAUUUGGAUCAUUCUAAUAGCUAAAACCCAACAAUUCUAACAUUCAAAAACCCUAAGUCUAGAUAAUAUUAAGGGGAUCAAAAGUCUGACUGAAAUCUAAGGACCUAAUGGGAGAAAGGAACCCACUAAUGAAAUGCCACAUACCUGGUGACGAAUUCCACAGAGAAAUCUUUUGAUUGGGCUGAUACUGAUGAAAACCUUGUUGUGUUUUGGAAAGCUUUGGUCGACUAUUUCUCCUCUCUGGUUCUAAGUUUGAUCGAUUAACUUGAGAAAGAAUUGACUAAGGUAGGUUCUAAUUAAGUUACUAGGCUAAAACUGACCAAAACUACGUAGUUUAGGGUUCCAACGCAUAGGGAAAAGACAAAAAAAACAUGACUUAAAAAGUCGACUGGCUCAUCGACGGAGCUGACUGACGGGCCGUAAGUCGACUAACGGUCCGUCCUGUCAGUCAUCAUUUGGCUCUCAGAGGGCUGAAAUCUGGGGUCUAAAACUGAAAGUUGACUGGCCCAUCGACGGAGCUGACUGACGGGCCGUUAGUCAACUGACGGUCCGUAGGUGUCCUCCGUCGGUGGCACCUGGAACUUCUGAAAAUCUAUAAUUUUCUUCUUCUUUGAAUCUAGGAUGUUACAAUAGAUCCCCCUUGGGAACAUUCGUCCUUGAAUGAAGUCUAAACUAGCUGGGUAUGGAGGGAAAGAGCUGCAAAACCUACCACUAAGCAUUGGAAACUGAUUUCUGACUGAACUAAGUUCCAAGGCAUGCAAAUCACUGAAAAUGCAAGUACAAACUGAAGGACAUGAUACUAAGACUGAAACUGCGCAUGAAUGAUUGAAAAACUGAAGAGGAACUAUUACCUUAAGCUGGAAUGGAAUUGGAAGGAAAGAGAUGAGGAUACUUGGCCUUCAUGGCUGUUCUGCUUCCCAAGUAGCUCCCCUGACUCCUCCACAAAACCUUAACCGAAGCAACUUCUUUGUUUCUCAAUCUUCUAACUUGACGAUCAAGAAUCUCAACUGGCACAUCCUCAUAAAUGAGACUAUCCUUCACAGCCAUACUUUCUAAAGGUACUAUAGAUGCUGGAUCACCCAUACACUUCUUCAAUAUUGAAAUGUGAAAAAACAGAUGUACCACUUCUAGUUCUGCUGGCAACUCUAACUCAUAAGCCACUUUACAAACUCUUUUCAAGAUCUUGUAAGGGCCUUCAUAUCUAGGACUGAGCUUCCCUUUCUUACCAAACCUCAUCACCCCUUUCAUAGGUGACACUUUCAGGAAAACCCAAUCAUCAACUUGGAACUCUAAUUCCCUUCUCCUUACAUCUGCAUAGGACUUCUGGCGACUAUGGGGUGUCUUAAGUCUAUCUCUAACAAGUUGCACUUUCUCCAUAGCAUCAUGAACUGAAUCUGGCCCUAUCAAGGAUGCUUGACCUACUUCAAACCAACCAACUGGAGAUCUACAUCUACGCCCAUACAAUGCCUCAUAAGGGGCCAUCUGAAUGCUGGAAUGGUAUCAAUUAUUGUAGGCUAACUCUAUAUGAGGAAGGUGAUCAUCCCAACUACCCUUGAAGUCACUCACACAAGCUCUCAACAUGUCCUCUAACGUCUGAAUGGUACACUCUGCCUGACCAUCCGUCUGCGAAUGAAAUGCGGUGCUAAGGUUAACCUGAGUACCAAGACCCUUCUGAAAGGACUUCCAGAAAUGAGAGGUAAACUGAGGACCUCUAUAUUAGAUGAUAGACAAAGGAACCCCAUACAACCUNNNNNNNNNNNNNNNNNNNNNNNNNNNNNNNNNNNNNNNNNNNNNNNNNNNNNNNNNNNNNNNNNNNNNNNNUAAAGCUUGGCGUAGUCCUCCGCCGAAUCUGUAGUCUUGACCGCCAAAAAGCACACAGACUUAGUAACUCUAUCAACAAUCACCCAAAUGGAGUCAUGCUGUCUGGGAGUAGGAGGUAAACCUAUAAUAAAGUCCAUGUUGAUCACUUCCCACUUCCAAGUAGGAAUGUUGAUCUCUUAAUUCAUACCUUUUGGUUUCUGAUGUUCUACCUUGACUUGUUGGCAAUUUGGGAACUUACCACAAAAUCUGAUAUAUCCCUUUUCAUACCAUUCCACCAAAAGACUUCCCGCAGAUCACGGUAUAUCUUAGUGGCGCCUGGAUGAAUAGAAUACCUGGANNNNNNNNNNNNNNNNNNNNNNNNNNNNNNNNNNNNNNNNNNNNNNNNNNNNNNNNNNNNNNNNNNNNNNNNNNNNNNNNNNNNNNNNNNNNNNNNNNNNNNNNNNNNNNNGAGAAUAUGCUGUCUCAAUUCACCCACAUCAGGAACACACAAUCUACCUUGAUAGCGAAGUACACCAUCUCCCCCUUGAGAGAAAACCGCAACUCUCUGUUGAUGGACUGCACCCUUUAGCUGAAGCAAUAUCAAAUCAAUGUCUUGAUUUUCUUUAACCUCCACUACCAAUGAAGAUUCUGACCCAUUCUGGACUGUUACACCACCAUCUGAUAUGCUCAUAAGACGAACUCCUAAGCGAGCAAGUCUGUGAACAUCCUUUGCUAGUUUCUUUCUUUCUUCCUCAACAUGUGCUACACUACCCAUAGAUAGUCUACUAAGAGCAUCUGCUACUACAUUUGCCUUACCAGGAUGGUAAUGCACACUCAUAUCAUAAUCCUUGAGGAAUUCAAGCCAUCCCCUUUGGCGAAGAUUCAACUCUUUCUGGGUGAACACGUACUAAAGGCUCUUAUGGUUUGUGAACACAUCUACGUGAACACCAUACAAGUAAUGUCUCUAAAUCUUAAGUGCAAACACCACUGCUACAAGCUCGAGGUCAUAAGUUUGAUAAUUCCUCUCAUGCACCUUAAGUUGUCUAGAAGCAUAAGUUGUAACCUUACCGCACUGCAUCAACACACAACCUAGGCCAUCUCUGGAUGCAUCACAAUAGAUAAUAUAACCGUCUGAACCCUCUGGUAGAGUCAAAACAAGAGUUGUAGUCAACCUAGUUUUCAAUUUUGCCAAGCUCUUCUCACAAUCAUCUGACCAUUGAAACUAAACCUUUUUUUGAGUUAACUUAGUUAAUAGAGAGGCUAUGGAUGAAAAUCCUUCCACGAACCUUCUAUAAUAACUACCCAAGAAACUUCUAAUAUCUGUAGGAGAGGUAGGUCUGGGCCAUUGUUUCACUGCUUCUAUUUUCUGAGAAUCCACUCGAAUCCCUUCGCUAGACAUUAUAUCCCCAAGAAAAGCAACAGACUGCAACCAAAACUCACACUUACUGAACUUAGCAAAUAACUGGCAAUAUUUGAGAGUUUGCGGGACAACCCUCAACUGAGUCGCAUGUUCUUCCUCAUCCCUAUAGUAAAUGAGGAUAUCAUCAAUAAAUACGAUAACGAACAAGUCCAAAUACUACUUGAACACUUUGUUCAUCAAAUCCAUGAAAGUUGCAUGAGCAUUGGUUAGUCCAAAUGACAUAACUACAAAUUCAUAAUGUCCAUACCGAGUUCUGAAGACUGUUUUCAGAAUGUCACUAUCCCUGACUCUGAGCUGAUGAUAACGGGAUCUGAGGUCUAUCUUUGAGAAAUGACUAGCACCCUAAAGUUGGUCAAACAAGUCAUCAAUCCUGGGGAUGGGAUACUUAUUCUUGAUUGUGAACUUGUUCAACUGUCUAUAAUCGAUGCACAUUCUGAGAGAACCAUCUUUUUUCUUCACGAACAACACUGGUGCACCCCAUGAGGAAAUACUAGGUCUGAUGAAGCCCUUAUCUAGAAGGUCUUUCAACUGUUAUUUCAAUUCCUUAAGCUCAGCUGGAGCCAUUCUGAAGGAGGAAUAGAAAUAGCUGGGUAUCUGGAAGGAGAUCAAUUCCAAAUUCAAUCUCCCUUUCGGGAUAAACUCCGGGAAGAUCUUCUGGAAACACUUCUGGGAACUCAUUAACUACUGGAAUUGACUCAAGAGUUGGGGUUUCGAAGCUUGAAUCUUUAACCCAAACUAGAUCAUAGAGAUAACCCUUAGAGAUCAUCUUUUUGGCAUGAAGGUAAGAAAUGAAUCGACCUAUAGGUGCUAAGCUACUACCCUUCCAUUCUAAGAUUGGCUUAUCUAGAAACUGAAAACGAACAAUCGUAGUUCUACAAUCGACUGAGGAAUAAUAGGAAUGUAACCAAUCCAUGCCUAGAAUGACAUCGAAGUCUACCAUUUCUAACUCUACAAGAUCUGCUGAGGUGACUUUCUGAGAGACUGUGAUAGGGCAAUUUCGGUAUACUCAUCUAGUUAUAACUGGGUCACCGACUAGAGUAGAGACCGAGAAGGGUUCUGAAAGAGUUUCUGGACUAACAUUGAAGUUGACUGCUAUAUAAGGAGUUACAAAAGACAAAGUAGCCCAUGUUGUCUUUCCACUGAGUGUACAAUAUGUGAGCCACAUCCUUAAGCUGGUAGGAUGCCAACUCAACCCUACCAUUACCAGUCACUUGCAUCAUUCCAAAGAUUUUCUUAACCUUAUCAAUAAAGUUCUAUGGGUCCUCACCAACUUGUAACCCUAAAAAAACUCAGGCGGAUUCAUCCUAACAAAAUCUGGAACUCUAGCUGCCACUGAUCCACCAUUUCUAUUAGUAGGAACUGAACCUGCGUUCUGGUUGAUCAUACUCUGAGCCAAAAGCUGAAUCGCAUUUCAAAACUCUGCGUUCAAAACCUCAUGGUCUGGGACUAGAGGAACUGUGUUAGCAUUGCGUGCAUUAACAUUCCUUGCGUAAGCUCUAUGAGGAGACAUAAUCUUAAGCGCAUAACAAUGGAUUAGAAAGAGAGAUCAUACCAACGCACGAUAAGAAUAUCAAGAAAGUGGAGUUUUCCUAAAACUCUUCGUAGCCUCCCUCUCAUUAGAUGUGGUGCACUUCACACCCAGGAAAAGGACUAUACUUAGUGCGGUUUUUCAGACAUCCUAAGACACUUAAACCUAGUGCUCUGAUACCAAGUUUGUCACACCCCAAGGCUACCCCCUAGAUGCGGACGCGGGACCUAGGAUCACGAGUGACCCCAAGCUAACCCUGCUGGAAUAUCAUAAGCAUACUAAAGAUAAAUUGAAUCAAUAAAUAUUGUGCGAAAGAUAAAUCAUGAGAUAAUCUGAAAUAAUGGGGAAUACCCAUAUACUAAAUCUGAAUAUAUGAAAAAUGAGAGUUUAAUCAACAACUGAAAAGUCAAGCUCUAACACUAUAGCUCAAUUUGUCUAUGUCUGAAAAUAGCCUCUACUGACUAGAAAUGUUGGGACAUGCCCCAGCUAAAUCUAGCAAAAUUGAAACUAAUACUAAAGCAAGGAAAGACAAUCAUGUCACUAGUCCUCGAAGAAUGACGAUUCACCACUGAUACUGCUGAAUUGAAGAUCGGGAACCGAUCUAUGCGUGAUCUGAAUGCUGAGGAACUAAACCUACAUCACGAGAAGAUGUAGCGCAGAGUUUGCGUCAGUACUUGAAAGGUACUGAGCAUGCAGGAUAAAGUAAAGCUGAAUAAUAGCAUAAAUGAACAAGCAAUAAAGCAAUGAUAUAAUCUGAACAUUAUAAGGAUACUGGAAAUACUAAACAUGGCUAAACUGAAUGCAAUGACCAAGUUUAUAACAUGCUGAGACUGAAUGUUGAACUACAUUGAUAACAUGGUCAAUGCAAUAAAAUAUGACUGAACUGUAAGGAAGCUACUAAUAACCGACAUAAAACCACAUGCGCUAAAUGUGGAGUUUGAUGUAUACGCCCCAUCGAGAGGACCCAAUAUACCAUGUUAGAGGUAUAGAGGCAUGCUGGCGUGAUUACUAAAAUGAUGCCCACAACGGGGACUUACAACCUAUGGGGCACGUAGUUCUGGGACUUGAGGGUGUCUGACCCUAGUCCACUCGGUAUUAAGCUUCUCCCAAUUGAUUAUGUAAUUAACAUUUUAUGACUGAAUUUCUGUAAUACUGGAUAGCUCGAUUACUGACAUGCAAACUGGAAUGCAACAUUAAUAUACUGAUAAUAAUGCAUUCGAAAACUGAGGCAUGUUUAUAUACAACUGAAUUAACUGGCCUAGCAUGUGUAAUCCAUGAACUAAACGAACUAUAUAGCUAGGGUUCUGAGUUUAUGCAUGACCUGGGCAAUAAAGAUAUUGAAUUCAUGAUGAUACGAUUUGGAUCAUUUCUAACAGCUAAAACCCAACAAUUCUAACAUUCAAGAAACCCUUAGUCUAGAUAAUAUUAAGGGAAUCAAGAGUCUAAUUGAAAUCUAGAGACCUAAUGGGUGAAAGGAACCCACUAGUGAAAUCCUACAUACCUGGUGACGAAUUCCACAAAGAAAUCUUUUGAUUGGGCUGAAACUAAUGAAAACCUUGUUGCGUUUUGGAAAGCUUUGGUCGACUCUUUCUUCUCUCUAGUUCUAAGUUUGAUCGAUUAUCUUGAGAAAGAAUUGACUAGGGUUGGUUCUAAUUAAGUUACUAGGCUAAAACUGACCAAAACAACGUAGUUUAGGGGUUAAACGACGUAGUUUAGGGGUCCAACGCAUAGGGAAAAGACCAAAAAAGCCCUGACUUAAAAAGUCGACUGACUCAUCGACGGAGCUGACUGACGGGCCGUAAGUCGUUUGACGGUCCGUCAUGUCAGUCAUCAUUUGGCUGUUAAAGGGAUGAAAUCUGAGGUCUGAAACUAAAAGUUGACUGGCCCAUCGAUGGAGCUGACUGAUGGGCCGUUAGUCGCCUGACGGUCCGUAGGUGGCCUCCGUCGGUGGCACCUGCAACUUCUGAAAAUCUAGAAAAAAAUUCUUCUUCGAAUCUGGGGUGUUACACAUUCCUUAAUUUAAUUUUUUUUCAUUCUAUUAUUUAUCUUCCACAAAUCUCUCAACAAUUAAUUAAUCUUCCCUCUCAUAACUCCAAAAUAAGUAUUGUAACCAAAAUAAAACUCUCAAUUUUCUUUGACAAUCAUUUCAACGGUUGAAAGCAAAAAAUUAUCAAUUUAAUUUAGCACGAUGGAAUAUGGAGUGUAACAAGUAUGUAUUAGUUUUUUAAUUAUUUUUUUAGUUUGAUUGCUAAAGUAUAUAGUUCAUUUUUUAUUGUUUUAAAGUUUUUUGUUGCUUGAAUUUUUAUGUAAAUCGAUGUGUUAACUAUGAAAAAUAUUGCUUGAAUGAAUGCUUCAGAUGUUGUUUGGCACACAAAUUUUAAUUAAAUUGAUGAAAUAAAACGAUUGGAAAAUUCUUGAUUAAAUUAUGAUUUAUAUAUUGGUUUAGUUUAUGUAUUUUGUAGUGCACUAUACACCAAAAUUUAAUCAUAAUUUACAAUAUUGUUCAACAUAGCAAUGUUAAACUAUCAUGUGCACAUUUUUUUAAUUAAGUUAAUUAUACUUAAAAUUGAUAAUUUCUUGAUUAGUUUGUGGUGAUAUAUUGGUGUACGUCAUAUAAUAUAUAUUAGAUUGAACUGUACACCAAAGCUAUCACCAUAUUAUACACCAAAGCAUCACCAUAUUGUACACCAAAGCGUCACCAUAUUAUAUAUCAUUUCUAAUUAAUUUGUAAUUUAAAAAUUAUAAAUAAGUGGUUGUAUUAUGGUGUUAUACACUGUUGUAGGUUAGUAUGUGUCUAACUAUUUCUCGAUAUGUAUCGCAGGAAUGUAUGUGAAUUUCAAGAUUGAAGGAGUGAUAUAUGACACAAACACCAAAAAGAUGUUUACCAAAUAGAUACAAUACUUUGUAAUUUUAUAUUUUUAUGAAUGAAAUUUUUACUAAUACUAGUGAUUUUUUCAUAUAUGUUGGUAUAAUUAUUUAAUAAUGAUGAUAAAUAUUGGUAGAUAAUUGAUAAUAUUAUGGUGUAAGGCAGCAUAUAGUUAAAAUAUAUAACAAAAAUUAAUUUUAUAAUCAUGAUUUUUACUUCGCGUGCAAUUUAAUUAUUUGUUGUUGUAAGUUAUUCAUUGUGAUUAAAAAUAAUUUUACAUCAAACUUAAUCUACAAUGUCUAGUAUUUAAUAUACUUUUUUAAAAAAAUUAAAAUUAUAGAACGGUAUUUUGGUGUGAUAGUUUAUAAAAGGAACAAAAUUUGAUUGUAUUUUGGUGUAAGUUAUUUAUCAUGGUUUAAAAAAAAUGAUCACCAAUGUAAUACAAAAUCUAUACCAUUUAAUAUACUCAUUCCCCUUCUUCUUUUUUAAUUAACAUAUAUAAAAUUGAAGAGAGAGAAGUAAGAAGAGAUAUUUCCAUAAUAAUUGAAAUGAAAUUAAAGAGAGAGAAAAAAAAUUUCCAACAGUAAUUGUAUGAAAUUAAUAAGAAAUGUGCUUAAGGAUAGAAAUCAUAUUAAUUAGAUUAUACAUUUUCACUCCCUACAAAUUAUCAUCAAAAUCUAAAAAGAUAAUAAGAAAAAACGUAAUUGAAGAGAGAGAUAAAAAUAUUUUUUUACAAUACUAAUUGUAUUAAGUGAGAACUAGAUAGAUACUGCCCGUGCGCGCACGGCCUAAUAUUCAUCUAUGACUGUUCAAUGAGUUCAUGUAUAUAUUUAGAUUUAGAAGUAAUGGCUACUUAUCUACUUGCUAAGUAAAGCAUAUCUUGUAAACUAUUAUAUCCACAAUAAUAGACGAAACAUAUUUAAACUUUGAUAUGUAUAUUUGUGAUUGCCUUGUCCACAUAUAUACACAGUAUUUAUUUACAGAUUGGCAGAAGUUGAUGCAAGCAGGUUUUAUGUUGUUGGCAGCUAUAUCGUUGCAAUUGUGUUGUCACUGUGGUUGAUAAAACACAUACAUAGGUUAGAUUGAGUGUAAAUGAAAAUGACAUUUACACUGGAUCAUAGAUAAGCUUCUUCUCCUCGAUCACCUUGCUGAGCUUGUGAACCUGUAACAAGCUAAUAACAAUUUGGACUGCUUACCAGGACUCAAGUGGACUAAGGAGCUAGUUUUGGAUACUAAUAAAUAAUAAUAUUUAACUACUCUCAUUUCAUAUUUUAAUGACUAAUAUAUAACAGCACAAAUAGGUAACCAUGAUCCUCACGUGAAAUAUCACCCUCAAAAGAAAUAAACCAUUAUUAGACCUCCUUCAAUAGUUUUUGAUUGUUGAAAGAAUUGAUAUAUAUAUACACUAAAUUUUCUGUUGCGUGAUUAUCAAUUCAGAAAAUUUAAGCGAAGAUUUGAAUAAUAAGCUUUGUAUAAAAUAAUAUUGCAGAUUCUUUUGUAAAUGUUCAAUGUGGAUCGCCAUAUAUAUAUAUCUCUUAUUCACACGAACCUAUGCAGAUGGUCAAUGAAAAAAUUUAUUAGUUAAAUGCAGUAAUGUAUAUAUUUAUUUCAAUUUGAUGAGGUUCAAUCAUGUAAUUAGUCGUAUUAAUCUCACUAAUAUUACCUUAUAGGCGAUAUUUAUUGUGUAUUUUUCUUGUCAUCUAACCAGGUGUGUUUUGCACGUGUAUUCCACUUAAUCUGUUUAGAUGUCAUAUGAACAUGUGGAGAACAAUUUUAUAUUUAGAGCUAUUUAUGUAUAUUAAUUUUUAUUUUAUAAGUUAUAACAUAAUAGAUGACGUUUUUUUUGUUGGCUCUCAUAUUUGACUUCUCCAUUGUCUAUGUACAUAAAUCAAAGAUAGUUAUUUGACUGUCCAUAGUUAACUGAGAAAGGUUUCCUCUUUUUUUUAUCGAAAAAACUAAAAAAUAAAAUUAAAGAAUAUAUUCUAUCUGUGAAAUCAUACAAUCACAUGUUUAUCUUAUAACCAACAAAGAUAUAGUUCAUAUGCAUGUAAAUAAUUUUCUAUUUAUUCAACCAAGCAUGAUUCGUCCAAGUAAAAAUAACAACACUGUAUUAUCACAUAUAUAGGGGCAGUAUAAUAAUAAUAUGAAAAAUUAUUGAUCAAAAGUUAAUAUAAAGAAAGAUGAAAUAUAGAAAUAAUUAAUGUAAUAACUAUGAUAAUUCAUAAUAUUAAAACUAAAGAAUAUAAAAGAGUGUGAAUAACAUUUGCAAUAAUUAGUCAUUACUAAGAGAAUUUAUAAUCUUAUAACUAAAAAUUAAUGUGCAAUAGAUGAAUUUCUAAUAAAUUUUAUAAUUACAUAAAUAGGACUUUUAAUUAAUGUUACUAUUUUUUUUUAUUAGUUAUUAGAUUUUAAUUUAGUAGUAGGGACAAAAUGAAAAUGUUUAUUCCAUAUUACUGAAUAUAAAAUUUAUUUUGUUAAAUUAUAAAUUUUUAAAUGCUUCAUAUAUAUUCACAUAUUUUCAUAUUUGUUGUGAGUUUUUUUUUAAAAAAAAAUAGGGAUAAGAGUCUGAAAAAUACCCCAAGUUUGGUCGGAUUUGUUGUUGCGAUACUAAACUUUCAUGAGGACCUAUUACCUCCCUAGACUAUUUAAUACCGUAUUUUAAACAUAUAUAUUUGCUAUUAGUACAAUGAUUUAUUACUUACGACCAUAAUGGAAGACUUGGAAAGUAUGUCUUCAUAGAUGAACAAUAUUUUGAACCAACGAGAUCGAGUUAUAUAUAUAUUACCUUCAAAGCAUGAACUCCUAACUUGAAUGUUAAAUUACUAUAAUAUCCCUAACUUAGGUUGUGACUUUUCUGAUAAGUUGUGAUUUUUUUCAAAGAGUUGUAAUUUUUCGAUGAGUUGUGACUUUUACAAAGAGUUGUGCCUUUUCCAAAGAGUUAUGACGUUUCCAAAGAGUUGUGACUUUUUCAAUAAGUUGUAUAUGUAUAAUUCGCUAUACAUAUACAAAAGAAAGCAGUUGUAUACAAAAGAAUCAAUUAUAUAAUUUGUAUAUGUAUAAAACGAGAAAGAGAGAAAGGCAAAAGAAAACUGGGCAGGGAAAUAUUUAUAUUGUAUAAUUAUAAGUGUAUAGGACAAAGAAAGAUAUAUGUAUUUGCAUGUGUAUAUACAAUUUUCUCUUGCUUUAUACAAACAGAAGCGCAAUUUAUACAUUUCGUUUCUGUUUGUAUAAGCGAGAGAGGCGAGGGUGGCGAGCGAGAUUUGGGAGAGUGGAGAGCGAGAUCUGGGAGGAGGGAGGAGAGGGGGAACGGAAAAAUAUAUGUAUAUAUACAAUUUCCUCUCACUUUAUUCAAACACAAACACAUUUUAUACAUUUGUGUUUGUAUAAAAGCGAGAGAGGCGAGCGAGACUGCCACCAAAAGAGAGUGGCGAGCAAGAUUCCACUAGGGAGAGUAGCGAAAAUAGCAAUAGUUUGCUAUAGGGUACAAUUAAAUCAAAGUAUAUUUAUAGCAUUUAAUUUGAAUUAAUAGUUUGCUAUUAUAUAUAAUUUUCCCAUGUUUUUUAUAGUAAUAACUAUUUUGAAACAAACUUCUUGACAAUCUAAAUCACACAAGUAACAUUGAUAAAUAAAGUCAUUUUUUUGUCUUGAGCAUCAAAAAAAUAAAUCGUGACAAUUCUCUAACUCUUGAGAAGUUUAAACUCCUCUAUUUAUAGUCAACAAAGGGUAGUAUGAACAAGUUUUUUUGUGUCUUAUCUGAAAAGUAAUGACCUUUCCGAGAAGUCACAACCCUUCCAAAAAGUCACAACUCUUUGGAAAAUAAAGUCACAACUCUUUGGGAAAGACACAACUCUUUGGAAAAGUCACAGCUCAUCGAAAAAUCACAACCCUUUGAAAAAAGUCACAACUUAUCAGAAAAGUCACAACUCACCGAAAAAGUCACAACCUAAGUUAGGAAUAUUAUAGUAAUUUAACAUUCAAGUUAGGAGUUCAUGCUUUGAAGGUAAUAUAUAUAUAACUCGAUCUCGUUGGUUCAAAAUAUUGUUCAUCUAUGAAGACAUACUUUCCAAGUCUUCCAUUAUGGUCGUAUAUAUAUAACUCGAUCUCGUUGGUUCAAAAUAUUGUUCAUCUAUGAAGACAUACUUUCCAAGUCUUCCAUUAUGGUCGUAAGUAAUAAAUCAUUGUACUAAUAGAAUUUGCAUCCCUGCCAAGAGAGCAACUAUCAGCCUAGUCAUGAUUAUCUCAGACCAAUCAAACAAAUGAAGCAUUUAUUUCCUUGUUAAUACUUAAUACACGAUAUAUUUUGAACCAAAUCAUAUAUAUUAUAUCUACUAUUACUUAUAUAUAAGUGUGAAUAACCAAGCACCACACCUCAACAUGUGUUCCAAUAAGAAUCACUACUAAUAUCCAAUAUAUUUAUAAGUCGGUCCCCACCACCUUCCACUUAAAUACUACAUAUUAUAUACUCCAUAUUAUAUAUUACAAUAAUUAACAAUUAUUUGACACUUUAAAUUCUAUCAAUGCCAUAUAAAUUAAGAUAAAAAAGGUAACAUAUAAUAUUUAUAUUAAUAUUUAUAAUAAUAAUAAAUAUAUAUAACUUAUAUACUCCAUAUUAUAUAUUAUUACAAUAAUUAACAAUUAUUUGACACUUUAAAUUCUAUCAAUGCCAUAUAAAUUAAGAUAAAAAAGGUAACAUAUAAAAUUUAAAUAUAUUUAAAAAUAAUAUAAGUAAUACUAUACAUUACAAUAAUUAACACCUUAAAUAUUUAAAAGUUAUAUAAAAAAUUUAAUUGACUCUCAAAAUUCUAUUGGUACCACCUAAAAUGGAUUAUAUGAUAAACAUAUAUUGUUUGAAAUUGACGAAAAAGAAACAAUAAAUUACAAUAAUUAAUAAAAGAAAUAGUCGACUCCAAAAAAUCUAUCAAUUAACAACAUAUAUUGUUUGAAAUUGACGAAACAGAAACUAUAAAUUACAAUAAUUAACAAAAUAAAUCUCUCGACUCCAACAAAUCUAUCAAUUAAUGCCACAUAAAUUGGGACAUGGCAAAUAACAUAUAUUAUUAAAAAAGUAGGUUCAAAAUGUAGUAUAAAAUAAAAUAAUUAACAACUUAAUAUAUUAAAGAGACAUAUAAAAAAGGGUUAAUAUUUGAAAUUCUGCAUCUGCCACAUAAAUUAGAACAAAUAGAUUAAUAAAUAUUAUUUUCAAAAUUAUGUUAAGAAAAAAGUACUACAAAUCACAAUAGCUAACAAUUUAAAAUAUUUUUAAAAUCAUAUAAAAUUUUCAAUAACUUCUCAAAUUCCAUAAUAUGACAUAAAUUUAAAAAAUAUAUAUAUUGGGCCCCGUGCUGGCACGGGGUCCUAUAUCUAGUAUAUAUAUAAAUGAGAAACACAAACAAGGUAAUAUGGCACCUCUCUAUGACCUCCAUUUGCAUUUAUCUUUUUUCUCUUUUUUUGGCUGUUUUAAAAAAAUAAAUUACUUAUUGUAUUGUAAAAAUAAAUUACUAAAUUUAUUACAAAUAAAUAAUUUAUUAAUGAAGGAACAUUUACAACAAAAGCUCUUCACAUUCUUUUUUUUAUUUGUUUGUCUCACUUAUAAUAAAGAAGAAACAUAAUUUAUCGUUUUUCUCCAUUUUUGGCUUUUUUUUUAAUUCAAAUUAAUUAUUGUAUUAUAAAAGUAAAUUACUUAAUUUAUUAUAAAUAAAUAUUUUAUUAAUGGAAGAACAUUUAGAGCCUGUUUGGAUGGGCUUUUAAGCUGGUCAAACUGGCUUAAAAGCCAGUUUUUGACUUAGAGCCUGUUUGGAUGGGCUUUUAAGCUGGUCAAACUGGCUUAAAAGCCAGUUUUUGACUUAGAGCCUGUUUGGAUGGGCUUUUAAGCUGGUCAAACUGGCUUAAAAGCCAGUUUUUGACUUAGAGCCUGUUUGGAUGGGCUUUUAAGCUGGUCAAACUGGCUUAAAAGCCAGUUUUUGACUUAGAGCCUGUUUGGAUGGGCUUUUAAGCUGGUCAAACUGGCUUAAAAGCCAGUUUUUGACUUAGAGCCUGUUUGGAUGGGCUUUUAAGCUGGUCAAACUGGCUUAAAAGCCAGUUUUUGACUUAGAGCCUGUUUGGAUGGGCUUUUAAGCUGGUCAAACUGGCUUAAAAGCCAGUUUUUGACUUAGAGCCUGUUUGGAUGGGCUUUUAAGCUGGUCAAACUGGCUUAAAAGCCAGUUUUUGACUUAGAGCCUGUUUGGAUGGGCUUUUAAGCUGGUCAAACUGGCUUAAAAGCCAGUUUUUGACUUAGAGCCUGUUUGGAUGGGCUUUUAAGCUGGUCAAACUGGCUUAAAAGCCAGUUUUUGACUUAUUAAAGUGUUUGGCAAUUAUCAAAGUGACUUAAUUUAAGUCAGAAAUGACUUAUUUUAAGCCAAAAGCUAAAAGCUAGGGGAGGGGAGCUUUUUUUUUUUUUAACUUAAAAGCCCUUUCAUGUUGACCAAGUAUAUUACGUUUUUGCCCUUAAUUCUUUUAUACAUUUCCCAAAUUGCCCAUAUUGAAUUAACCCUAACAUCUAUUAUUANNNNNNNNNNNNNNNNNNNNNNNNNNNNNNNNNNNNNNNNNNNNNNNNUUAUUAUUAUUAUUCCUCUUAUAAAUAAUUUGUGGUGGUGAAGAAUUAUGUGAAUGAUAGGAAAAUAUUAUUACUUGUGGAUGAAAAAUAUAAAUUUAUUUUUAAGUAUAAAAACCUUAAAUUAAUCAACUUUUUAUCAUGUUAACAGCUUAAAAGGGUAUUUCAGACAUUUUGAUUAGAAAAAAGUGUUUACCAGCACUUAUUUGCCAAACACAUCAACAACUUUUUUUUCAACUGCAGCACUUUUAUCCAAACACAUAACUACUUAUUUUUAAAAUAAGUUUCAGCACUUUAAAAAGUUACUUUUUAAAAGUUACUUUUUUUAAGUCAAUCCAAACGGGCUUUUACAACAAAAACUCUCCACAUUCUUUUUUUAUUUGUUUGUCUCACUUCUCAUGAAAUGAUAAUAAUUUCUUUUUAUAUUUUAAGUAUUUUUCUCUUUAUUUUUUAAUUUAUUCACAAGGAGUUAUUACCCAUGGAUUACCCCUCUUUAAUUUUUACUUUUAAUAAUAUUCAUAACUUUCAUAAUUUUUAUUUCUAUAACCUCCAAACUUAAAUUUGUAAGUUUAUGAUGUCUUAUGGUAUUCCUCUAUUUUGCCUAUAAAUUCAUAUUAGUUUCAUGAAUAUUCACAUUCAAAAUUAUCCUUUCUCUUCUUCAUCAUAUUGGUUUGGUUUGUACCAAAAAAGAAGUACAUAAAGGUAAGAAAUAUUUCAAUCUCAAGUCUUUAUUUUUUUCAUUUCCUCUAUUUUGUCUAUAUAAAUUCAUAUUUGGUUUGUGAAUGAAACUAACAUGUAACCAAAAAAAAAAGUAUAUGAAGUUAAUAAAUAUUUCAUUCUCAAGUCCUUAUUUUUGAAUUUCCUCAAUUUUAUCUAUAUAAAUUCAUAUUUACUUUCAUGAAGAUUCACAUUAUUAUUUCUCUUCUUCAUCAUAUUUGUUUGUGAAUUAACUAACAUGUAACCAAAAAAAAAGUACACGAAGGUAAGAUAUAUUUCAUUCUCAAGUCUUUCGUUUUAUUUCUAUGUACUUAGACAUGCUUUCUUAAUAUUUUGAUUAUGUUUGUAUUAUCAUUCAUCAAGCAAGUAUGAUUUUCAAAAAAUGUCUUUGUAAUUCUUAACGAUGUGUUGUAAGUAUGCAAUUAUUCUUUCUAAUAGUCAGUUUUCCGGAUAUAAUAUAGUUUAAUUUGAUAAUAAUAUUUGUUAGAUUUCAAGAAAUGAUUAUUAUGUAGUAUUGUCAGUACUAUUGAAAAAAUAAUAUACAAAGAUAUUACAUAUAAUUUAAAUUUCUUUCUUUCUUUUGAUAUAUUUAUUUUUAAUUAGUAUAUGAUAUUUUAUUUAUUUAUUUUUAUUCAAUUGAUUGCAUAUGAUGAAGAGUUUGACAUAUGAAGCAAAAUAUGGUAGCGAAUCUACUUGCAAAUGAAGAUUAUAGAAGGGGAAAAAAAGAAGCAUAAUUAGAGAUUAUUUUUGUUAGAUUUUUUUUUUUACUUUGACUUGUAUUAGUAACUUACCUACUUUGCUAGAAUUUUUUAAAUUUUGGUUUGAAUAAAUAAUUUAGCUAAAUGUAUUGUCAAUGUUAAUCAUUUGAUCCUUUACUAUUUUACUUUUUUUUUGUUAUGAAGCACAAUUAAUAUAAUUAUCAUAUUUCAACAACAACAAAAUAUUAUGAUGAUUAGGAGUUUCAUUUUUAUUAUACUUGCAAAAAAGUAAUUGAAAAAUAAAAUAUUAGUUUCAUGAUGCCAUUUUUUUGCGUAUGUAACAAUCUGUUUCUGUCACCGUUUUUUUGUUUGAAAUGUAUUUAUAAUUUUUAUGCAGUCACCAAUUAUUAUUUAUUAUUAUUAUUUUGUAUUUUUUCCCCUUAUUUUCAUUUAUUUAUUUUACAAAUAAAAUCAAUGCAUAAGUGUUAAUACAUUUAAUGUCUAAUAAAAUCAUACAUUUGAAUUAUUUAUAACUCAUGUCUCUUCAUCUUACUUGUAACUUAUAAUAUUAAAUAUUAUUCAUAACUUUUGUAUUUUUCAUUUUUCAUAAUUCUUAUAAAUAUUUAAUUAAUGUUUAAAAAAUUAUAAUAAACAAAUGUAAUAAUAAAGACAUAAAAAAAAGUUUUACUUAAUUCUUUUUUCACGUUGUGUGAACUACUUCAAAAUAUUGUGAUUACGUGCUAUUGAAAUCUUGGUCGACUCAUGGCUUUUCAAAUUCAAUGGAUCAAAACUUGCAUUUCUACUGCUAAGUUUUAUGAAUAGAACUAUACCUAAUAAAUAAUAAAUAAAUAAAAGAUAUGAAAGUUGCGAGUAUAAGGAAAUUUUAAACUCCAAGAGCUCUAAAUUUGUGUUUAGAAGAAAGAAGAUUGUGGAUCUCUGUUCGAUUUGAUAAAGGGAGAAAACUGCAACUUGUAAGUGUAUCCUCCAAGAAAGAUGCCUGGAGAAAUGGCUAGCUUGUUCUCUUUGAAGGAGUGAUUAUAUCAGACAGACGAAGUGAAAAAAACGUCGAAAAUUAGAAGGGAAAAAGAGAUUAUAGCUUUAAGAAAUAGCUAGAUCUUCUCUUGCUAUCUGGUUUGAAAAGAUGGUAUUGCCGCCUAUGUUGCUUGAACUCUUGAAAGCUGUUUUUCGGGUCCAACACUAGUGCAUUAUUAGAGGAUCCAACACAAGUGUGGCAGCAUUUUGGAGAGUGAGAAACAUAGACUGCCACAAUAGUUUCCAACUUUUUUUUUCUUUUUCCCUGAGGUGAUUUUUCUAGUUGAUGAUGCUCAAUAACAGAUAGCAAAAAAGAUAUUAUGAAAGAAGCCUGGAUUAUUGUCAUCACUCGUCACUCAUGAACAAUUAGAUUCACUAUCCUGGCUAUCGUUUAUCAACGUUUUCACCUAAGUAGGUCAAAGAAAGACAUGAUUUGAGAGGCAACACAAGAAAACUAACAAUUCAUUGGUACCGAAGAAAAAGAGAGAAAUAUAAGCAAGGCUGUGAUGACAGGAAUGUAAAUCAAAAGACUUCCUAACAUUCUGACUCAGUGGAAAAUAUGAGAACAUUCAGGUGAGGAUUGAAAAUGACUAAAUAUGAUAAUGUUAACAUUCUGAAACUGUCUGCUAGAAUAAAUCCGAAAAAAUAAGGACUCUAGUUUUUUAGCAAGGACAUGUAAUUUAAUAACUUGACAGCACCAAGUUAUGUACAACUAAGCAAAAGCAUCCCUGUUUGGAUAUGCAGGGUACUAAUGACAAACAUCACAAACCUGGGUGAACAAGUGCUGAAUGUUAACUCGGUUGCACAACUCAGCUUUUGAAGGUAAUCUUGGAUGAGGGUCUUAAAACCUUGAUGAUAAUCACGGCUCGUCUUCCUCAUCAUCAUCAGAAUCUUGAUCAGUAUUAUCCUCAUCAUCAUCAGAAUCUUGAUCAAAAUUAUCCUCAUCAUCAUCAGAAUCAUGAUAAUAAUAAUCACUGGAACAGUCUUCCUCGUCAUCAGAAUCUUGAUAAUAAUCACUGCAACUGUCUUCCUCAUCAUCAGAAUCUUGACAAGGAUUAUCCUUAGCUUUAACCACAGAGGAUACAUCUACAAGCCUACACGUGAAAUGAUGCAAAUCAUGUGAAAGAACCAAAUAAUGAAGAUUCGGGGCAAAAAUUUCCAAGGAACUAUCACUUUCACUUCCAUCAUCAUCCAUUCAAUAACCUUCCAAUUUCAGGCUUUCUACUUUGAAAGAAUUAAUUUCCAGGCUAUGAAAAAUCCCCAACCUUGUGAAAUUAAAUAGUUUCCAAAGCAGGACAGACUGACAGUAAGUUUACAAUUUCGGCAUCCCCUAUCCUCCAAAGUUAUGCUCUUUAGAGACUUUCACGCUAUGACAAUAUAUUAGAAAUAAGGAACUUUCUACUAGAUGCAAUGUUCUCAACGCUGAACAGGUAAAGAAAGAUUCAGUAAAUAGACAAAGAGGAUCAGAAUAGACUAUAACAUGUUCCACAUUUUUUUUAACUGCAAAACAGCCAGUUCCUUUUUCUUUUUCCCUGAGGUAGCUUUUCUAGUUGGUGAUGCUCAAAGAACAGAUCAUAUAAACAAUGUUAUGAAAGAAGCCUGGAUUAUUGUCAUUAAUUUCGCAGUUGUCACUCACGAAAAAUUAAAUUCACUUUAUUGGCCAUAGUGCAUCCAUUUUGUCAACAAAGUAGGUCAAAGAAAAGACAGGAUUUGGAGGACAACACAAUUAUAAUUCCCAUCAUAUGCCAGGAAUGUAAAUCCAAACACUUCCAAGCCAUAUGCCAAGUGACAAACAAAUGAUGAAGUUAUAACCCGACUCAGCAGAAAAAAUGAGACUACAAGAGGGGCGGGGGAGAACUUUCUGGUGGUGAUGGAAAUGACUUGCUCUGAAUUUUUUAGCAGACGCAUUAACGGAAAAAAAUUGGUAAAAGAUUUAGCCUAAUAAUGACCUAAACUUCAACUAAAAAAAAUCAACAGCAUUGUAAGCCUCAAUUACAGACUGUUACAAACAAUGCAGACCUCUUUCUUCCAAGUAAAGAGCCUAUGAGAGAACCAUUUCGCAAUCAAAGUUUGAUACUAUUGACAAAGCAUUUAAACAUUUAAUUACAACUUAAAAGAAAUUUGCAAUGCACAUGCACAACAUCUAAUCUAAAAUGUAACAAACCAAGACUUCAUGAGAAACCAAGCUACUAUACCAUUUGAUAUACCAUAACAGUAAGUUUCAAAAGAACAAUAAUUAAUAACAUCGAGAAGUUUAAGAUUAGCGAUUGCGCGAAGUUGAUCAAAAACUUAAUAUAAGGGAAAAUUUCUUGUAUCCUGAGACAAAAAUACUUGUAGUCUAGUUAUAGAAAGCUCACUCUUGAUAGGUAAUCACAAACUCAGCAGAGGAUCUCAAUUUACUAGCCAAUCGCGAUAAAAAUCGGGACACACACUUGAUUCCACAAAUCUCACACCUUCGUCUUUUUGAAACGAUAACGAACUUCUCCAAAGCCACUGCUUUCUUUAACAAAAAGCUUGAAAGUUUGAAAAGCUUCCUGAUAUAUUCCCAGUUGAGAUGCUCCUUCAUGCACAUCCCAGAGGAGAUGACAAUCUCAACAUUCUUUAGGUUGGGAAACACAGAGCUUGAAUUAUAACUCUGCAAAUCAAUACUAUCACCUCUGACCAAAUAUUCUCUCUCAAAAUAGCACCUGGAAUCAUCAAACUGGAGAAAAAGAAAAUAGUCAGGAC
RNAcentral lists this long non-coding RNA (43107 nucleotides) under Solanum tuberosum (potato). RNAcentral describes it as "long non-coding RNA (STUB_LNC001353)". Lineage: Eukaryota; Viridiplantae; Streptophyta; Magnoliopsida; Solanales; Solanaceae. The record is from RNAcentral.